AGGCUUUCUGAUUGGAUUGAAAAAUAUGCUUCCAGUGGGGUGAAGGAAAUCCAGAUUAAAUAUGUUCUUCAAGCCCUUCCGAUGUUUGCAAUGGGAAUCUUUAAUUUUCUAGCCUCUCUUUGUGAGGAUUUGUCCUAGAUUAUUCAGAAUUUUUGGCGAGGAGAUGAAGAGGAUGGGAGAAAAACUCAUUGGCUGGCUUGGGACAAAUUAAAAAGAUCAAAAGGAGAAGGAGGUAUGUCUUUUCGUGAUCUUAGGCUUUUUAACCAAGCUUUACUGGCUAAACAAGCUUGGCGAUUAUUGAUAAAUCCAGAGUUACUCUGCGCAAAGCUGAUGAAAGCAAAGUAUUACCCUCGAGGACAUCUUCUUGAUAAGGUUUUUCCGCAAUUAACUUCGGCGACUUGGCAAGGUAUUAUGCAUGGUCUUGAACUUCUCGGAAAAGGGGUUAUCUGGACAGUUUUUGAUGGAUCUAGUAUAAAUAUUUGGAGAGACAACUGGCUGCCUAGGAUGUCUGGGCUUAAAAUUUCAGCUAAAAUGAAUAGAACUAAGAUAAUCACUUGUUCUUUCCCCAUGAGGCCGAUGUGA
RNAcentral lists this ribosomal RNA (582 nucleotides) under Triticum aestivum (bread wheat). Its description in RNAcentral is "partial small subunit ribosomal RNA". Lineage: Eukaryota; Viridiplantae; Streptophyta; Magnoliopsida; Poales; Poaceae. The record is from RNAcentral.